GACGAACGCUGGCGGCGUGCUUAACACAUGCAAGUCGAACGGAAAGGCCCUGCUUUUGUGGGGUGCUCGAGUGGCGAACGGGUGAGUAACACGUGAGUAACCUGCCCUUGACUUUGGGAUAACUUCAGGAAACUGGGGCUAAUACCGGAUAGGAGCUCCUGCUGCAUGGUGGGGGUUGGAAAGUUUCGGCGGUUGGGGAUGGUCUCGCGGCUUAUCAGCUUGUUGGUGGGGUAGUGGCUUACCAAGGCUGUGACGGGUAGCCGGCCUGAGAGGGUGACCGGCCACCUUGGGACUGCGAUACGGCCCAGACUGCUACGGGCGGCAGCAGUCGGGAAUAUUGCACAAUGGGCGGACGCCUGAUGCAGCAACGCCGCGUGCGGGAUGACGGCCUUCUGGUUGUAAACCGCUUUCGCAUGUGACGAAGCGUGAGUGACGGUAACGGGUAAAGAAGCACCGGCUAACUACGUG
RNAcentral lists this ribosomal RNA (468 nucleotides) under uncultured bacterium. RNAcentral describes it as "partial 16S ribosomal RNA". It matches the Rfam family "Bacterial small subunit ribosomal RNA", at positions 28 to 507 of the family's 1533-position model. The record is from RNAcentral.